This is a long non-coding RNA of Bombus pyrosoma, 471 nucleotides long. RefSeq lists it as uncharacterized. The transcript is spliced from 2 exons. The record is from RefSeq and is a predicted model, not a curated record. NCBI's taxonomy places the organism in Eukaryota, Metazoa, Arthropoda, Insecta, Hymenoptera, Apidae.
AUUAAGAACGAAGCAGAGGAAUAAUACGUAACAGUUGUAAAAUAAGAAGUAAACGCGUUAUAUUAAGAAAUUCAAAUAGUACAAGAGUUACAUAGAUUGUUUCUUCAAGCCAGGACGUGUUAAUACGAGUAACGUACAGGCUGUUUCGUUCUUGUCCCGCCAAAUGCUGCGUCAGCGUAUUCUAUGAUUAAAACGACCGACGAAUAUUUUACUUGCGGGGAGCUUCGGAACCGGACUUAUCUGGUCAGGAAUUAAUAUCAACACGGAGGAUUUACGUUUCAUUCGGUAAAAUGAAAGAAAAUAAAGAUGAAAUUCGGACGAAUAUCAACGAUGUCAAUUUUCCAUUUACAAAAGCGGAAGACACUUUGAACAAGAACCAAUCGAUCGAACGAGAAUCCCCGGGCAUUUUGUAACUCGAACGAAAAGAACAAAAUACAUUGUCCGCAAUAAAAUAAUCUAGAAUGUUAUUUA